RNAcentral lists this long non-coding RNA (225 nucleotides) under Mytilus galloprovincialis (Mediterranean mussel). The record is from RNAcentral. Lineage: Eukaryota; Metazoa; Mollusca; Bivalvia; Mytilida; Mytilidae.
CUUGUGUUCUGUUGACUUUAAAAAACACAUUUGAAAAGAGUCUUAGUUGCCUUCCAAAACUCAGGAUCCAGGAAUGCAUAGAUGAACGGAUUUAUGAAAUUAUUUAUCAAGUACGUAUGAUAGAGCCAUAGCACAAUGAUAAGUCGGUUCCUUGACAAAUUAUCCCAGAAAUCGUGCAUAAUUCCUUCCAAUGUUAGAAUGAUGCCCACGGGUAUUACACUAACA